RNAcentral lists this ribosomal RNA (407 nucleotides) under Streptomyces sp. MBT30. RNAcentral's name for it is "bacterial SSU rRNA". It matches the Rfam family "Bacterial small subunit ribosomal RNA", at positions 91 to 514 of the family's 1533-position model. The record is from RNAcentral. Lineage: Bacteria; Bacillati; Actinomycetota; Actinomycetes; Kitasatosporales; Streptomycetaceae.
GAUUGUGGCGACGGGUGAGUACACGUGGGCAAUCUGCCCUUCACUCUGGGACAAGCCCUGGAAACGGGGUCUAAUACCGGAUAACACUCUGUCCCGCAUGGGACGGGGUUAAAAGCUCCGGCGGUGAAGGAUGAGCCCGCGGCCUAUCAGCUUGUUGGUGGGGUGAUGGCCUACCAAGGCGACGACGGGUAGCCGGCCUGAGAGGGCGACCGGCCACACUGGGACUGAGACACGGCCCAGACUCCUACGGGAGGCAGCAGUGGGGAAUAUUGCACAAUGGGCGAAAGCCUGAUGCAGCGACGCCGCGUGAGGGAUGACGGCCUUCGGGUUGUAAACCUCUUUCAGCAGGGAAGAAGCGAAAGUGACGGUACCUGCAGAAGAAGCGCCGGCUAACUACGUGCCAGCAG